RNAcentral lists this long non-coding RNA (1355 nucleotides) under Pan troglodytes (chimpanzee). Its description in RNAcentral is "long non-coding RNA NONPTRT018451". The record is from RNAcentral. Lineage: Eukaryota; Metazoa; Chordata; Mammalia; Primates; Hominidae.
AGCUUGCAGGAAAAUUCCAGAAGCCAAAGCACAUCUAGCCACCGAAGCGGGGCCGCGGAGGGGGAGUUCGUGGAGAGGUUUAUGGGAGCUGUGGCCUCUACGUAGCUCCCGCCCCAUGUGGGGCGACAGCCAAGCCCCUGGUGGUGGGCCCGAGGCAGCUGUUGGGUAGCAGAGCCAACAGCAGGAAAUGUUAGCUGGGAGGGAGCAGAGGAGAGAGCCGGAUAAACCGGGAGCUGCAGGGCCUCUCAGGGCCCCUCUGUUUCUGUCCUUCACUGUAUCUGACGGGAAACCUGCCAAGGGCAGUGACUGCUGCUCGCCUUCCGCCCUACAAUUCUUGCACAAGGUUCUCUUUUGGCCAACUCUAACCCGGAAUCACAGCAGGGAGGGGCUUCUAGGAAAUGGAGUUCCCAGCCUUAAUCGAGUUGCCAUAGCACAACUCAGCACCGCAUCUCCCAGCGUGAUCAAUGAAAUGACAUCACAGGCUCGGUAAAAGCCAUUUAAAAAUAACUCCUUCAUUCUACUGUUCCUCAGCUCAGAAGUCAGGUGCGUGCAUAGGUCGCCCUUCGUUAAGAUUCUCCACUUACGGAGGUGGUGGACCUGGCAGGGUGUUGUAGGAAGGAGUGGCAUGUGCUGAGAAGCUCACAGGAUCCUUAGUCCUGGCUGUGACUCACAGUUAACAAAGAGUGAAGAGGACACUAUCAUCAUCAUCAUCAACAUCAUCAUCAUCAUCAUCAUUAUUAUUUGCCUGAAGGCCCAGAGUACACCGUAAUGGAGUACUGCUGAUGGGAAAGGGAUUAGCAUUGACCUCUCAGGAGGUUAAUUUGGGAGUUUAGCUCAUGAUCUAGUAAUUCUGCUUCUGGGAGUUUAUGAGAAGGAAGUGCUCUAAUAUGUGCGCCUGUGUGAUCGCUGGGCUUUAGCAUUUUAGGGGUGAGCCAACUGUAUCUCAGAGGUGGCCAUGUCUUGCAUUGAGGAGAGAGAGCACCCGCAAGAACUUCCAUGCUAUAUUCUAUUUGGGAAGAACUUGAACCUUGCAUAACGUAAACGAAGAGAAUUAACAAGAAUUUGUGGCACCCCUUCUGUGUCAGUUCUUCUUCCAGAUAAUAGGAAUAUAGCAAUAAACAAAACAGACCAGGUUCCUGCCCUCAUGGGGGAAAGAGGCAAUCUAAAAAUGAAAAAUGGGCCAGGCGCGGUGGCCCACGCCUGUAAUCCCAGCACUUUCGGAGGCCAAGGUGGACGGAUUACCCAAGGUCAGGAGUUCAAGACCAGCCUGGCCAACAUGGCGAAACCCCAUCUCUACUAAAAAUACAAAAAUUAGCUGGGCGUGGUGGCACGUGCCUGUAAGGCCAGCUACUCGG